UACGUAGGGUGCAAGCGUUAAUCGGAAUUACUGGGCGUAAAGCGUGCACAGGCGGUUUUGUAAGUCUGUCGUGAAAGCCCCGGGCUCAACCUGGGAAUUGCGAUGGAGACUGCAAGGCUUGAAUCUGGCAGAGGGGGGUAGAAUUCCACGUGUAGCAGUGAAAUGCGUAGAGAUGUGGAGGAACACCGAUGGCGAAGGCAGCCCCCUGGGUCAAGAUUGACGCUCAUGCACGAAAGCGUGGGGAGCAAACAGG
This 253-nucleotide ribosomal RNA is filed under the name uncultured bacterium. RNAcentral describes it as "partial 16S ribosomal RNA". It matches the Rfam family "Bacterial small subunit ribosomal RNA", at positions 524 to 776 of the family's 1533-position model. The record is from RNAcentral.